RNAcentral lists this ribosomal RNA (400 nucleotides) under phytoplankton environmental sample. RNAcentral describes it as "partial small subunit ribosomal RNA". It matches the Rfam family "Eukaryotic small subunit ribosomal RNA", at positions 587 to 988 of the family's 1831-position model. The record is from RNAcentral.
AGCUCCAAUAGCGUAUAUUAAAGUUGCUGCGUUUAAAAAGCUCGUAGUUGGAUCUCAGUCUCGAUCGGUCGGUCCAUCCUCUGGGUGGUUACUGGCUCAAUCGGACGUUGUUGGCCACGUUUCCGAGCAUGCUCUUCAUUGAGUGUGUUCCGGAGAGUGGAGCGUUUACUUUGAAAAAAUUAGAGUGUUCAAAGCGGGUUUCUCGCCCGAAUAAUGGCGCAUGGAAUGAUGGAAUAGGACCGCCGUCCUCUUCGGCCGGUCUCGGGGACGGAGGUAAUGAUUGAAAGGGACGGCCGGGGGCAUUCGUACCGCUGCGGGAGAAGUGAAAUUCGGUGAUCGUAGCGAGACGAACGAGAGCGAAAGCAUUUGUCAAGAGCGCUUUCUUUAAUCAAGAACGAAA